AUCUAUAAAUCGAUUAUAAAUGGAUUCUGACUUGUAGUUUUGUUCUUUGGAAGGCUUUUGACGAUAAUAAUCUCAAUCAAAAAUGAGAUCCCAGAGGGUUAUGUGCCCGUAUGUUGAUUAAUCAGAGGCUAACUUCAAGGAUGUCACAGAGUAGCGCUCUUUGAUAAUAGAGCUCGAAGCGUGUGGUGAUACUCAUAAUAGACUCAUCAUUGGUGAGAGACCAUUAGCGUACAAGUACCGUGAGGGAAAGAUGAAAAGAACUUUGGAGAGAGAGUUAAAACGUAUGUACAGAUGUUAGUAGAAAGCGGAUCAAGUUCAUGAGCAUUUUUUCAAGACAAUUCUAUCCAACUUAUAAUACUCUAAGAUUAGAUAUAAGUUAUCAGGCUGGCUAGUCAAGAUGAGACGUAACAAUGCUUCUACCCAAUCUGAUCCGACCCGUCUGGAAACACGGACCAAGGAGUCUAGUAUUGGUGCAGGUAAUUGAAAAGCUAAAAUUCUUUAACACAAGUAAUGUAGAUCGUGUUCAUCGUGUCAUGAUGAUAGUAUCGCGGGCAGUGUUUUUUACCUAGCAAGAGCAUGGAU
This 582-nucleotide ribosomal RNA is filed under the name Collozoum pelagicum. RNAcentral's name for it is "eukaryotic LSU rRNA". It matches the Rfam family "Eukaryotic large subunit ribosomal RNA", at positions 112 to 807 of the family's 3401-position model. The record is from RNAcentral. Lineage: Eukaryota; Polycystinea; Collodaria; Sphaerozoidae.